CAGUCGCCGCGGGAAAACGGAGGGGGCUAGCGUUGUUCGGAAUUACUGGGCGUAAAGCGCACGUAGGCUGCUUUGUAAGUCAGAGGUGAAAGUCCGGGGCUCAACCCCGGAUGUGCCUUUGAGACUGCAGGGCUAGAACGUCGGAGAGGUGAGUGGAAUUCCGAGUGUAGAGGUGAAAUUCGUAGAUAUUCGGAAGAACACCAGUGGCGAAGGCGGCUCACUGGACGACUGUUGACGCUGAGGUGCGAAAGCGUGGGGAGCAAACAGGAUUAGAUACCCCAGUAGUCCCUGUCUCUUAUCA
RNAcentral lists this ribosomal RNA (301 nucleotides) under uncultured bacterium. RNAcentral describes it as "partial 16S ribosomal RNA". It matches the Rfam family "Bacterial small subunit ribosomal RNA", at positions 509 to 809 of the family's 1533-position model. The record is from RNAcentral.